RNAcentral lists this long non-coding RNA (4942 nucleotides) under Mus musculus (house mouse). RNAcentral's name for it is "long non-coding RNA chr8:74206411-74211353". The record is from RNAcentral. Lineage: Eukaryota; Metazoa; Chordata; Mammalia; Rodentia; Muridae.
CAAGUCCUUUAGAGAUAGCAUGUAGACUCUGUUCCCAGAGCAAGAAUGUAUUUCAUUCCUGGAUUUAACUCUUCUUUUUCUAGUCCAAAUUCCCAGGGCAGGGGACACAGUUGAGUGACAGAUCAUUUCUCAUCUCAAAGGCUUGUUUUCUAUAGCCAGAGAUAUGAGAUUCCUAUGAAACUAGGAGCAAGAAGAAGUGGUGAAUGAAGCUCAUUGGGAGAAAUCUUCAUUUUGUUAAGGAUGGACGAGACAUCUCUACACUUCUUAUCAAGACUAGGCUCAUUGACUUCCAUGGAAGAAAGCACAGUAUUUUACAAAAUUGUGAAAAGACAAAAGUCACAGCUCAGCUAUCCCACAAGAGUGAAGAAUAAUUUUUCUUAUCUGCAAUCAGAAGGGCAGAGUUUUCUAGGGUGACAUGUUUUCCUCAAAGAGUAAGUGAGGAAUUUAUUAGAAGACCUCAUAUGGAGAGGUGCUUUGGAGAAGGUACACUUCUGCACAUGUUUAAUUUAAGGUACAUAUUUUUGACAAUGCCAUUAGAGUCAUACUUCAAGGAAAAAAAUGUAGCAGAAAGGCACAUCCAUGCAUGCUGCGGUGACAUUGUAAAGCUGCGGGGCAAUGAUUCCAGGGGGCUUACAUUGUAAGUGUCACAGGUACACAACAGGAACUUUCUGGUUGCUUCUGGCUUGCAUCAUCAGUAGCCUGCCACUAAUGUAAUAGGAAAGAGAAAGCAAGGAAUGAAUGAUCCAGCUUGGCUUCUAGAAUACAGAUAUUCCAGAAACUAAUCAUUUGUUCCAGGACCCCUUCCCUUUUAAAUCCCAGCAAUCUAAGUAAUGUUCCCAGUCAGUGGUGACACUCUUCAAGCUUUUAAUGACCAAAGGAAAGAGCACCAUUUGAGAAGAGUUGAAACAAAUCUAUCCCCAGUCCUCUGUGCUUUUAUGGUAUCUAAAGGGUGUCUGGUAGCAACAGGAUUUUGCUAGUUUGCGUUCCCAGUAGGUGGCUACAAUUUAUAAUGCUAGAAGCCCUUUUAAAGUUCACAGACAGGAAAGGCUGUCUUUACAUCCAUAGUAAAUGGAAAUUGAAUUUUCAUUCUAUAAACACUUCAGAUUUUAGUAUAAACAAUAGGAUAUGGCUUCACAUAAGUUACUAUUAUCUUAAAUGCAGGUUAUGUUUAAUUCCAGCUUAUUGAAUCCCUAGGUAAUGUAAGGCAGCUGUGAUAAGGUGAAAACACUUUCCAUGUGAUUUACAAGAGGUUAUUGAACACAAAAAGGCAUUUUUAUUUACACUAAGGUUCUGAAUUGGUUUAAUGUUGGAAUAGUCUGAGGUAAGUAAUUUCUUACUCAACUACCACUUAGCUGGGGUACCAGCUCCUUCAUCAGCUUUGUCAAUGGAAGAAUAAGCAAGCUAGGCCUCAUGAUGCACAUUAAAGGUCCAGCUUACAACCGACCCUGUCUGGAUUUUAUUCAUGUCAUGUUUUUGGAUAAUUUGUGGCUAUGGAGAUAUCUGAGGUAUUGGACACACUCAUUCCUUUGUGUAAGAAGGAUAGAUGCCAGACAUGUCUGUCAGGCUUUUAGUCACUGUAGCAAAUACCGGAAGAAGCAGCUUAAAUGAAGAAAUCUCUCUUUUAGCUUAUGUCAUCAGAGAUUUUCAUCCUUUCAUGAUCAGUUUCAGGACUGAGGAGAGGAAGAAACAUCAUGGCUAUAGCAGGAAAAUGAAGUAGAGGCUACUCAUCUUAUAGUAGCUAAGGAGGCAGUAAGAAAGGAUGAGGAUUGAAGAGGGAGGCAGAAAGGAUAUGCACACUGACUUUCCUACAUCCGCUAAUAAAAACCUACAUUUCAAAAGACCCCCACUCUCAAUUUAAACUAGAUCAUCAAUGGGACUGGUCAGCACUGGAACUGCCCUCCUCAGUUCCUAGGACUUUUGGUGGCUUCAACUUACUGUGAGACACUGAACAGAGGACUGCAGAGGAAAAUACCUGGGGAAUCUCCCCAGCUUUCAGAAACAUCGAAGGGAACAAUCACCUCUUGAAGAAUCGGCUCUGGAAACCAUCUCUGAUGCUGUUCUAGCUUCCAGAGGAGAAGCCUCCCACACUCCCCUUCAGCAUGACACUCUAAGAGAGGAGCAGCUUUUUGUACUGUCUGCAGAUCAUUUUAACUGUUGAAACACUACUUGCCUUUUAACCUACACACCCUCGGUUAACAAUUUGCUAUAUUAAACUCCCUCUGCUUUAAAUACUUGCGGUUCUCCUGAGGGGCCAGACAUCUCCGUCCCUAAAGAGAGAGAAACACUCUGGAGCCAUGCAAAGAGCCUUCAUUCUCCAGAGUCACAAAAGAUUAGCAUUCUGCUUUUUUCAUCCUAGUGGCUUACAGCAAGGUCUGUGACCCUGGCCAGUGAUAAAGAUACUUGUUUCUUGGGCUUACUGGGAAGAUUUUAACUCAUUUCACAUGUAUAAGAUUAUAUAAAAUGACCUGGUUCACAGUAGAUGCUCAAAAACCUAGAAUUGAAUUCCUUGAUAACAACAGGAAAUAGAUUCAUCUAUUUUGCUGGUUACUCAGUUCCAUGUUAUUAAGCCUUCAGCUAUUUCAGGGUCACAAUCUAUAUCCUUUGUAACAAAGAUUCGAAAGUGGAGGGAAAGAAAGACAAAGGCAAGCCAGGCAUGGUGGCAUAUACCUGGAAUCCCACAAUUGGAAGUCACAGCCAGAUAGAUGUCUUUGAAUAUGAGGCCAGCCAGUCUAUGUAGAAAGUUCCAGGCUAACUGCAGUUGCAUGUUAAAUUAUUGUGAUAAAUAAAUAAAUAAAUAAAUAAAUAAAUGAAUGCAACUCCAUUUAGGAGAUAUGCAAAGUCCCUUAAGUAAUUUUCUUGACUUAUUCACCUAUUUACAAAUAUAACAAUUAAGUUAAUUUUUACUGUUUGAGAAUUUCACAUAUGCAUGUAAUAUGUUUUGACAAAGCAAACCCACAUUCCCCCUCCUCUAACCAUUCUUGCCACUCUUUCCCCAAACUUCAUGUGUUCUUUUGUUUACUUUGAACCCACUGAAUCCACUUAGUGUUGCCUGGAUAGGCACAGGUUGCCUGGGAUCAUCUACUAAAAUAGGAAUAGCAUCUCAAGGGCUGCCUUUGAGAGAUUUCCCUGCUUUUAAUAAAGGCAAAAGUUGGAUCACAGAAAGAUAUAGUAGAAAGCUUGUGCUGCUUCGCCAGUGGUUAGAUUCCAGAACUUUCUAGGCCUGCUAUCUGAAGUUGCAAAUGAGAAUAAGAGUUUGAAGAGGAAGUGUUAAACUGUCUUGAAAAAGAUAGAAGACAGUAGACUUAUUUCCUUUUAAUCUUGUAAAGAAAAUCCAAGAGACAUGAGCAAGUAGAGGGACAAAAAGAAAAGGAAAAAGAAAAAUAAGAGAAAUGUGAUUGAGUUGGGGGACUUGAAAGGCCAGGGAGAUAAGGAGGUAGCAGAGACCAGAAAGAUAAGCAGCUGCGUCUCUCUAAUAAAGAGUCCUCCCCAGCUCUCACUUCUAAGAAAAUUCUAUCUCAGGAACCUGUCACGGGAGACAUAAUCCACCUCUGAAGGACAGCUUGGAAAGCAAAAAGAAAUAGAGGUGGCAUAUGUGGCUGCAGGGAGACCAUGUCAUUUCAAGGCCACUCUCAUCUGUGAAGCACCAUGAAUGUGAUCCCUUGCCCAUUUUCUUGAAGUGAAUGAUUAAAUGCAAUAUUCAAUACUUAACUAUUUCUUUUUAAUCUCUGUAUUUGUGAAUGCUUGCACAUGCUAAUCAUAGGACUACUUGGGUGGCAGUCCUUCACUUCUACCUUGGUUGAUCCAGGUUCUAUUAUUCACUGAUGCUGAUGCCAGGCUAGGUGAUCUGUAAGUUUCUGGGGAGUCUCCUGUCUGUAACUUCUGCACUUCUGAGUGGGCUUGCAAAUGUACAUUUCAGCAUCUGAAUUUACAUAGACUCUGGGGAUCUGAACUCAGGUCCUUGCCUGGCACGUAGUGGGUAGACUACUUGUCUACCCACUGAGCCAUUUCCCUAGCACAGUCCUUAACUCUUUAAGGAAUGCAUUUCUCUUGUCUCCAGAAAAAAAAACAAAAAACAAAAAAAAAAAAAACUCACAAGCAUUCAUUUGUAAAUUGAUAGUUCUUUUCCAAAAACCACCCAUGGGAAGAAGCUGCCCAUCACUUCUCUGCUCAGAGAGCAACAAGGACAUUACUUGAGAUAAGGCACAAGCAUUCACAUCCAGUUGGACAUGACUGCAUUCCUGUGCAGUGUCAGGAGGACUACUUCAGAGCCUUAUUCACUCCCUCAUCUAAUAAUGUUCCUAGCCAUACCCUAGGAUGGAUCACAGCAAUUUUUUGUAUAACUCUGGGAAAACUAAAAUUCAAAAUGGUGGAUAACACACGAAGGUCAUUUGAAUCUAAAAUCUUGUGUAUCUAAGACAAAUAUGUUUCCUGAAGUUACACAAACACACACACACACAUAGAAAAGCAUGUACACAUAUAUACAUGUGUACACACCAUACAAGAUUGCUGUAGGUGUGUCACACAUAUAAGUCUUUACAAUAAAAUUUUAGGACACAAUGAGCUUAUUAGAAUAAAUUUUAUAUACUAAAUGCCUGGUGAGAACCUUAUAUUAACUAGUAUUUUAUUUUAUUUGUUGGAGGUAAGUUAUAGUCUAAGCAAAUUGUGGGCAUAAAUGACUGUCUAUAGUUAGUUCUAAUGGGUUGCAUAUUACUAUUUUAUGCCUCUUUGAGGCACAAAGUACUUAUAUAGUUGUCCCACGGCCAUACAGAUUGUAAAUAGCAAGUUAGGAAUUUGAACUGAGAUGGUAUAUCUGAAGAGUCUGUGCUCUAGAUGGCUGUGUUAGCCACUAGAUUACCCACCAUAUUUGUGGAGUUUGAAAGUGGAUAUUCAUAGAAGCAAGGGGAGGGGGCUGCGAUAGGGGGUUUCUGGAGGGGAAACUGGG